Molecule: long non-coding RNA, 1736 nt
Organism: Morone saxatilis (striped sea-bass)
Lineage: Eukaryota; Metazoa; Chordata; Actinopteri; Moronidae
Exons: 2
Source: RefSeq, a predicted model, not a curated record
UGUGGGUCAGUAGAAAGAAAAUAGUUCCUACAUUAAACUGCUCACAUGCUAUCUUUAGUAACCGAGUGCCAUAUGGUUCCAUUAUAUUUGAGAGAAGGCAGACAUUUCUAUGGCCAAUACUGCCAAAGCUCAUCAACUCACACCAACACAAUCUAGAUGGAUGAAUAGCAGUACAGAGCUGAAUACUUCAACAGAAACCACCCUGAAAUAGAAACCAUAUGGACGCAUUUUUCCAUCAGUAUUUGAGAGGAUCAACAACUGUCUUGGUAAAUGGAGAGAGGAAGAAAGAGGAAGACUGAACUGACAAAUACAGGGGAUGGUGUUGAUGGAUGAACAUGGAUUAUGUCUCUUGGUGUAUAUAAGACAAAAGUUCACACAUAAACAGAACAGAUAACACUAAACCUUGACUAAAAUAUCCAAAAAUCCAAAAAUUGUACAUAUGAGAGGUGACGUCAUCGUUUUUGACAUGGUUGGUGAAGCGGUGAUUCGUAGAGGAACCCCUGACACUGGUGGCGGUGAUGAAGAGACGAAGAGGCUGCUGAAGAUCUGGAUUUGAUGAGGAGUGGACUUCUGAUGAGCUCAACCUGGGCACUGGAUAUGAAUGGGAUGGAGGAGGGCCGCAAUGAUUUUGCGCUGAUUUUUCUAUUCAAUUUGAAAAACCAAAAUAAAAUACUAUUUUGGUUUUUCUAAAUUGAAUACAAACCAGCCACACAGUGACAAUACAAAACCACUCACUGUACAUACCAGUCUCAAAAAUGAAUUACCACACAAUAAAAAUAAAUAAUAAGAAAUAAAUAAGAAAACUGUAACCACAAUAGAAUGGUAUUUUACAACACAGAGUGAGAUGAGAGAUUCUCCAUGCAGUUGAUGAAAGAUUGCAAUUUAGAAAAAAUUACCUUAUUCCUUAGUGAGUAAGUUAUCUCUUCCAGAGGUAUGAAAGGUCGCUUCUGGGAGCCACAGUCCAACUGGCAACGAGCAAUCUGACUUCCAUUUCAGUGCAAUACAUUAAACUGCAUUUUUUGGCAAUGGCCAGUAGGAUUUCUGUAAGCUUGAUUGAAUGAGUAUGUGUAAGAUUUAAAUUUGAGGUUUCCCAAAAAGGCAUAAGCUAUUUAACUUUUAAUCUAUAGAUAUAUAUAUAUAUAUAUAUAUAUAUAGAUAGUUAUAUAAUAUAUAUCUUUUUUCACUGAAAACCAUGAUCCUGGAUGUGUCAUUUCCUAAAACAUAACAUAAUGUAAGAUUUGGUAUUUGUUGCAAUUUGGCGCCCCCAGUUGUAAUACAAUUGUCGUAAACAUGGACAGCUGUAUACAUGCAUUUGUAAUGAUUACAUUAAUUAUAAUAAAAAACAAGAAAGUUAACAACUUUGCUGACACAGCCAAACAUCAAGCAAGUGCAGCAACACAAGACAUAACAAGCCAGGUUAUAUUACUUACUAGUCCAACAGCAAGGCCAGGUCGCUGUGUCUGCAGCCUUUUAUUUCACAAAGCUCUUGCCAAUGAGUAAAAAGGCAGUCCGACAUUUACUAUUGUCCGCCAGCUGAGCUCGGUUACGUUGCCUGCUCGUCAGCUCUGGUUCUGGCAUCAAGCUGUGGCAACUCUCCGUCAGCAUUUCCUCGCCCCAGACAUUUAAACUUCCUCCUCCCGGCGGUCCAAAUCUCCUGUACUACCACUGUAAACGCCAUCACUUUGCCAGUGCUCUGACUAAAGUUGUUAUUUUAAGGUAAACAGUUACAAAAUGUU